GACGAACGCUGGCGGCGUGCUUAACACAUGCAAGUCGAACGGAAAGGCCCUGCUUUUGUGGGGUGCUCGAUUGGCGAACGGGUGAGUAACACGUGAGUAACCUGCCCUUGACUUUCGGAUAACUUCAGGAAACUGGGGCUAAUACCGGAUAGGAGCUCCUGCUGCAUGGUGGGGUUUGGAAAGUUUCGGCGGUUGGGGAUGGACUCGCUGAUUAUCAGCUUGUUUGUGGGGUAGUGGCUUACCAAGGUUUUGACGGGUAGCCGGCCUGAGAGGGUGACCAGGCACAUUGGGACUGAGGUACGGACCAGAAUCGUACGGGCGGCAGCAGUGGGGAACAUUGCACAACGGGCGGGAGUGUGAUGCAGAGACGCCGCGUGCGGGAUGACGGCCUUCGGGUUGUAAACAGCUUUCGAAUGUGACGAAGCGUGAGUGACGGUAAUGGGUAAAGAAGCCCCGGCUAACUACGUG
RNAcentral lists this ribosomal RNA (468 nucleotides) under uncultured bacterium. RNAcentral describes it as "partial 16S ribosomal RNA". It matches the Rfam family "Bacterial small subunit ribosomal RNA", at positions 28 to 507 of the family's 1533-position model. The record is from RNAcentral.